This 567-nucleotide ribosomal RNA is filed under the name uncultured fungus. Its description in RNAcentral is "SSU rRNA". It matches the Rfam family "Eukaryotic small subunit ribosomal RNA", at positions 1 to 574 of the family's 1831-position model. The record is from RNAcentral. Lineage: Eukaryota; Fungi.
UUCACUAGUGAUUGUAGUCAUAUGCUUGUCUCAAAGAUUAAGCCAUGCAUGUCUAAGUAUAAGCAAUUUAUACAGUGAAACUGCGAAUGGCUCAUUAAAUCAGUUAUCGUUUAUUUGAUAGUACCUUUACUACUUGGAUAACUGUGGUAAUUCUAGAGCUAAUACAUGCUAAAAAUCCCGACUGCUUGGGAGGGAUGUAUUUAUUAGAUAAAAAAUCAAUGCUCUUCGGAGCUCUUUGAUGAUUCAUAAUAACUUGUCGAAUCGCAUGGCCUUGUGCUGGCGAUGGUUCAUUCAAAUUUCUGCCCUAUCAACUUUCGAUGGUAGGAUAGUGGCCUACCAUGGUUUCAACGGGUAACGGGGAAUAAGGGUUCGAUUCCGGAGAGGGAGCCUGAGAAACGGCUACCACAUCCAAGGAAGGCAGCAGGCGCGCAAAUUACCCAAUCCCGACACGGGGAGGUAGUGACAAUACGUAACGAUACAGGGCCCUUUCGGGUCUUGUAAUUGGAAUGAGUACAAUGUAAAUACCUUAACGAGGAACAAUUGGAGGGCAAGUCUGGUGCCAGCAGC